CCCGGCCCGCCCGCAGCCGCCUUCCCCUCACCGCCCGGCUUCGGCAAAUGGAGGCGGCUUUGAGCCCCCUCGCCUCGCCUCGCCUCGCCUCACCUUCUGCGAGGAGAAGGACUGCGUCCAGUGCAGGUAUUUUCACCGUGAAUGUCAAGAACAAUGGCGUGCUAUCAGGAGCAAAAAAACGUUACCGGAACACAGCUCCCAAAUCGGAUCCCAGGGGUAUAUAUACUCCAUUGCUAAAUGCACCUCACUUGUAGCCAUAGCACGAAGAAGUAAAAAUGCAGAAUAAUA
Cygnus olor (mute swan) is the source of this 288-nucleotide long non-coding RNA. RefSeq lists it as uncharacterized. Lineage: Eukaryota; Metazoa; Chordata; Aves; Anseriformes; Anatidae. The transcript is spliced from 2 exons. The record is from RefSeq and is a predicted model, not a curated record.